ACUGGGAGGGGCAGAUCCCUCACGGUGUCGCCCCCAUAACAGGGGACUGGAGUUCAUUCAUUUUUUUUUUAAUUUAACUUUUCCAUUUUUGGAGUUUUCGGGACGGGGUCUCAUGUAGCCCAGGCUGGAUUCAAACUCACGACGUACUCGAGGAUGACCUUGAACCCCUCACCUUAGGCUUGCCUGCUUGGGUGAAUGGCAUAAGUCGUCACCACAGGACUAAUUGCUUUUUUUUUUUUUUGAGACAGGUUUCUCUGUGGCUUUGGAGCCUGUCCUAGAACUAGCUCUUGUAGACCAGGCUGGCCUCGAACUCACAGAGAUCUGCGUGCCUUUGCCUCCCAAGUGCUGGGAUUAAAGGCGUGUGCCCCCACCGCCCGGGUUGACUAAUUGCUUUUUAAAGACACAUUCUCACUACACAACAUAAAGUGACCUUGAACUCACAGGAAUCUUCUUGCCUUGGCAUUCUCAGCGCCCUCCCUGGGAGAUUGGGGCGGACUCUUUCUCCAGCCCUAGAGGAGAAACACCCCUUGGUACCUGUGCAUAGCUCUCAGUGGCUCCUUCCUGACGCUGGGGGUACUCCCCAAAGAGCAACGGGGGAUCCCAGUCCUGAGAGCAUCUCUAGGGACCCCAGCCUUCCAGGCCCAGAAACUGAGGCUCACAGGAGGUUUAUGGGGACACACACAGAUGGAAGGGGAGUUGCUACGGUGGCUGGAGCAGCGGCAGCUCCUGCAUGCGCUUGCGGCUGACACGCUGGACCCUGCGCUGGACCCCGGCCGGCAGCUUCCUCCCCAGGCUCCUCAGCGCCACCGCCGCAGUGCCGCCAUGAACCCUGCACACCGCUGCUGUCUCACUGGCUGCACUCAGCAAGACCUGAGGCGCCUCUGUCCCACCUGAGGGGGGUCCUGGACUCAGGCGAUGGGUCCUUGAUAGCUCCCCCCCCCACCCCCCGUCAGGAUGCUCUAUACCUCCAGGGCCCGUGUGAAUGCAACAGCCCGGGUUUGCCUCGGAGGAGUCCCAGUUAUUCUUAGAUCCCAAAAAUGGAGGGUCACACGUCCUGUCCCAGGAGGAGCCUCCAACAUGCCCUGUGUCAUUCCCCCCUACCCCUUGUGUCCCCGACGAUCUAAAUAAAAAAGCAACUUCACACAUUUUGUUUGGGAAAAGCCACACGGGGGUGGGGGGCAGCGGCGGGCUGUGGCUGUGCUCCAGUCACACGAAGACCUGAGGUGACGCCAGAUCACAC
Microtus oregoni (creeping vole) is the source of this 1240-nucleotide RNA transcript. It is a transcript of the gene named insulin like 3, with no coding region annotated. The record is from RefSeq and is a predicted model, not a curated record. NCBI's taxonomy places the organism in Eukaryota, Metazoa, Chordata, Mammalia, Rodentia, Cricetidae. The transcript is spliced from 2 exons.